RNAcentral lists this ribosomal RNA (400 nucleotides) under uncultured bacterium. RNAcentral describes it as "bacterial SSU rRNA". It matches the Rfam family "Bacterial small subunit ribosomal RNA", at positions 359 to 778 of the family's 1533-position model. The record is from RNAcentral.
GGUCAGCCAUGCGCGCAGCCUGAUGCAGCGACGCCGCGUGAGUGAUGACGGCCUUUCGGGUUGUAACGCUCUUUCAGCCGGGGACGAUGCUGACGUUACCCUCCCUGGAGGCGCCGGCCCGGUCCUUGCAUCAGCCCCGGUGCGAUAUUGUGUGCGGGGGUUGUUUUGUCUCACUGGGCGUAACGUGCUCGUAGGCUAUGCGGCUUGUCGGGUGUGAAGUGCCCGGGCUCAGCUCCCGUUUGGCCUUCGAGUCUGUCCGGCUUGAGUUCGGUAGAGGAGGGUGGAAUUGCCUUUGGUGGGGUGGAAUGGCUUUUCUUUUUGGUGGAAACCCCUGCGCCAAGGGCGGGUUGUUGGCCGGUUCUUGACCUUAAGCCCCGAACCCUUGGGUAGCAAACGGGAU